Molecule: long non-coding RNA, 2695 nt
Organism: Sapajus apella (tufted capuchin)
Lineage: Eukaryota; Metazoa; Chordata; Mammalia; Primates; Cebidae
Exons: 2
Source: RefSeq, a predicted model, not a curated record
AGCGAUUCUCCUGCCUCAGCCUCCCGAGUAGCUGGGAUUAACCGGCAUGCGCCACCACGCCCAGGUAGAAGCUGGUGACUUUAUGAUAUAAAAUCAGAGCUGAGAAUUACAAAAAGGCGGUUCUAGAGGAGGAGAAACAGAAAAGCUAUCAAAGACAUUACUAAAAUACAUGGAGCUACGGAGGGAAAACAUUGGAAAGUUUCAAGAAAAAAAGCUUUUUAAGUGUAUGAGAAGCAAGUGACAUCUUUAAAUCUGGUCUUUCAUUGAAACUUAGGACAAGAUAACCUUCCAAAGCAAACCGUCCUUUCUCAGUACUGCAUAUUUAUCAAGCAUUUACAAGUUUGAAUUUGUGAGUUAUAUAUUUGCCUGUACUCAACUGUAAUUUUAAAAUUCAGAUGCAGUUUUUCCUAGUUAACAGCGCCAAGCUUAUGAAGAUUCCAAAUAGGACUUUAUUGUUGACCCUUGUUGAAGAGAACUCCACUUGGCGUCUUUCCUGGCUUUCCUAAAUUGUUCACAUACAAGAUAAACUACCAUCACUCAGACUUACAGAAGUGAGAAGGCAAGCUGAACCAAAUGUAAAAUGAUAGCAAUUUACAGAUGUCAGAACUAACGUGGAUGAACUUAGAGAUGAAGAAGAAAGCUGGGCUUUUCCAAAGAGUGGACCUAUCUGAACUGGAUAGCACUACUGAACUUUGUUGCAUACUUUAUGGUGACUCUAAAACUCCUUUGCUUGCUUACUUUUAAAUGCAAUGUGUUGCUAUACAUACAUACAACCAGACACUAUUGCCUUCUGAGGCUAAUCCAGGCCAUUUUUAUAACCUAAUGCAGUAGCAUUUUGCAAUUAGAUGAAGAACGUCAAUGGGAUUUCUUUUCAUGAUGAUUAAAAUGUGUCAGGAGAAAAAAAUAGAGACAAUACUCCAAGUGAAAAAUAUAAAGUCAGUUAUUUCUUUAAUAUUUUGUGUUAUAGUAAUCAUUUUUAUCUUUUGACCAUACUUUUUCUUGUCUACUUACUCAAACAAAAUACUGAAAAUUAAUUAUUAAAUGUAAAUAUAACUGCAAUGAGAUAUCAUCUCAUCCCAGUUAAAAUGGCUUUUAUCAAAAAAAACAGGGAAUGACGAAUACUGGUAAGGAUGUGGAGAAUGGGGAAACCUCAUACAUUGUUGGUGGGAAUGUAAAUUAGUACAGCCACUAAGGAAAACUGUAUGGAAGUGCCUCAGAAAACUAAAACUAGCACUACCAUAUGAUCCAGCAGUUACACUAGUGGGCAUAUAUUCAAAAGAAAGGAAAUCAGCAUAGCAAAGAGGAGAUAGCUGCAGUCCCAUGUUUAUUGAAGCCCUAUUGAAAUAGCCAAAAUAUAGAAUCAACCUAAGUGCUCAUCAGUGGAUGAACGGUUAAAGAAAAUGUGAUUCAUAUGCAAUGGAAUAUUAUUCAGCCAUAAAAAAGAAUAAAAUCCUGGCUGGGCGAAUGGCUCAUUCUUGUAAUCCCAGCACUGAUCUCAUGAAGAUAGAUAGUAGGUUGGUGGUUACUAGAGGUUGAGAAGGGGAGAGGAGAGGAGAGAUGAAGAGAGGUUGAUUAAUGGAAUCAAAUAUACAGUUUGAUAGAAGAUAUAAGACAGUAUUUGAUAAAUCAGUAAGGUGACUAUAGUUUAAUAAUCAUUGUGUAUUUCAUAAUAGCUAAAAGAAUAAUUCAAAUAACAUAAGAUUAAAAUUUAAGAUGAUAGAUAUCCCAUUACACUGAUUUGAUUUUUACAAAUUAUAUGAAUGUAUUAAAUUAUUACAUGUAUCCCCAAAAUAUGUACAAGUAUUUUGUAUCAAUAAAAAAUAAAAUUUAAGAUAAAGUAAAUGUAAUAAUUAGCUUUUAUUUCCUAGCUAGGAAAUAAUUAUUUACUUAAUAAGUGUAUGUAUGAUGAAGAGAUUUUUUUAUAUUACUAUAAAAAUAGACAUCUUACAUAAACAUAUUACAGUUGGUGUUUAGAUGGCUUUUUUUUUCUGGCCUUGAACUUCUGGAAAGUAGGCAUGACCUGCUAUGUCAGGACUAGUUCUUGGAAUCCUUUGUUAUUUUUCAGUCAGCCUUAUUUUCUUGGGUCAUAUUUUGAACAAUAUUUAUCAAAUGUCUUUUUACCAGACAUUGUUCUAGAUGCUUAAAGAAAAUGAAGUUUUACUGUGAUAAAAGUUUCCAGUCUAUGUAAGAUGGAUAAUAAACAAAUGUAUAAUGCUAGAUAAUGAUAAGUGCUAAAAGAAGAAGAAAAUAAAUAAGGGGAAAGAGAGUUUCUGUGCAGUUGUGUGUGAAAGUGUCCAUGCAUGCCACUCACCCAGUAUUUUAAAUAGAGUGAUCAAGGAAGCCUCUCUGAAGAAGUAACAUUUGAACAGAGAUCUGAAAUAGUCAGGCAUGGGAACAUUUAGUGAGAUAUUCCAGGCAGGCAUUGUGAACAAUUUAUGUCACAAAAAAGUCACCCAAGUGUAAGCCAAGUAACAUCCUAUAUGAUAAUUAUAUAUACAUUUUUUGUUUUUUCUUAAGUGAAAAAUAAACUCAUUAGGUUUUCUGGGUACUCAUUAGGUUUUCAGAAAAGUUUUUCAUUUAAUAUCAUUGCUGUAUAUUUCUCUUAAUGAUUAUUCUAUUGUUUAAUAAGAUUUAUGGCUGUACAGAUACAGCUUCACAAUCCCUUAUCUGUAAUUCCAAAAUACAAAAAAAAAUU